UUUGGAGAUAGUGCUAAUCUUGAUGCACGAUAGGUGCACGGUUUGCAUUGAACAUACCAUAUGCUAAGAAAUCCAUUUGGAGGCACCCCAGUAGAACUCCUAGAUGACAUUUAUAUGGAAUCUCACUUUGGUCUGUUUGGAGACAGAGUUAGUAUUGGUGCAAGAUAGCUACACAGUUUGCACCUAAUGCAUCAAAGGCUAAGAAACUAUUUUGGAUGCAUCUGUUGAUACUCCUGGGUAAAGGGGCUCAAGUGGAAGCUCAGUUUGCUUUUGUUUGGAGAUAGUGCUAAUCUUGAUGCAAGAUAGGUGCACGAAUUGAAUGGAACGUACCAUAUGCUUAGAAAUAUAUUUGGAAGCACCCAAUAGAACUCCUAGAUGACGUGUGUCAUAUAGAAUCU
This 398-nucleotide long non-coding RNA is filed under the name Sorghum bicolor (sorghum). RNAcentral's name for it is "long non-coding RNA (SBIC_LNC018646)". Lineage: Eukaryota; Viridiplantae; Streptophyta; Magnoliopsida; Poales; Poaceae. The record is from RNAcentral.